Molecule: ribosomal RNA, 490 nt
Filed under: uncultured soil bacterium
Lineage: Bacteria
Description: bacterial SSU rRNA
Rfam family: Bacterial small subunit ribosomal RNA
Source: RNAcentral
AGAUUGAACGCUGGCGGCAGGCCUAACACAUGCAAGUCGAGCGGCAGCACGGGUACUUGUAUCUGGUGGCGAGCGGCGGACGGGUGAGUAAUGCCUAGGAAUCUGCCUGGUAGUGGGGGAUAACGCUCGGAAACGGACGCUAAUACCGCAUACGUCCUACGGGAGAAAGCAGGGGACCUUCGGGCCUUGCGCUAUCAGAUGAGCCUAGGUCGGAUUAGCUAGUUGGUGGGUAAUGGCUCACCAAGGCGACGAUCCGUAACUGGUCUGAGAGGAUGAUCAGUCACACUGGAACUGAGACACGGUCCAGACUCCUACGGGAGGCAGCAGUGGGGAAUAUUGGACAAUGGGCGCAAGCCUGGUCCAGCCAUACCGCGUGGGUGAAGAAGGCCUUCGGUUGUAAGCCCUUUUGUGGAAGAAAGCAUUCGUUAAUACCGGUGUUCUGACGUACCCAAGAAUAAGCACCGGCUAACUCGCGCCAGCAGCCGCGUAA